CAGUCGCCACGGGAAUACGGAGGGAGCUAGCGUUGUUCGGAAUUACUGGGCGUAAAGCGCACGUAGGCGGCUUAGUAAGUUAGAGGUGAAAGCCUGGAGCUCAACUCCAGAAUUGCCUUUAAGACUGCAUCGCUUGAAUCCAGGAGAGGUGAGUGGAAUUCCGAGUGUAGAGGUGAAAUUCGUAGAUAUUCGGAAGAACACCAGUGGCGAAGGCGGCUCACUGGACUGGUAUUGACGCUGAGGUGCGAAAGCGUGGGGAGCAAACAGGAUUAGAUACCCCGGUAGUCCCUGUCUCUUAUAC
RNAcentral lists this ribosomal RNA (301 nucleotides) under uncultured bacterium. RNAcentral's name for it is "partial 16S ribosomal RNA". It matches the Rfam family "Bacterial small subunit ribosomal RNA", at positions 509 to 807 of the family's 1533-position model. The record is from RNAcentral.